GUACUGUGGAGGGCUGUGAAAAUUAUCAAAGAAUUUGUAAAAAAUUAUACCUUUUGUAUCAGGGUAGAUUAAUAUGGUAUAAAAUUAUAAAUUUCGAAAUUAAUUGAGCUAAAGAAAGUUAAACCUAUUUGUAUCAAAAAAAGGUAAAAUUUUCUGUAGUAAUGAAAAUUUAAACGUAAUUAAUUAUAUCUAAUUAAAAAUGAGAUAAUAAAGUUAUAUAUUUAUAGAAGAAAAGCUUAAUUGGGUAAGUUGAUUAAGUGCAAAUAAGGUUUAUUAGUAUAAAGGCCUAAGCUUUAAAUUAGCUAUGACAAUAAUUUUUGUUAAAUAAUUUAGGUGAGGAUAAAUAUGUGAAUUUAAACCUAAUUUUUUAUUUUUUAAAAUGGUGAUUAAAAAAAUUAUAAUGAUUUAAUUAGUACUUUUGGUUGUUAAAAUAAAUUAACUAAAUUAAAUUUUGACUGUUUAUCAAAAACAUUUUUUUCUGGCAAAUAGAAAAUAUAGCCUGCCCGGUGAAAAUUUAACGGCUGCAGUAUUUUGACUGUGCUAAGGUAGCAUAAUAAAUUGUUUCUUAAUUGGAAACUGGAAUGAAGGGUUGAACAAUUUUUGAAGGUGUAGAAAUUAAUUAAUGAAUUUUUACUAUAAGUAAAAAUACUUAUAUAAUCUAAAGGGACGAUAAGACCCUAGAAGCUUCAAUUUUUAAUAAUAAAGAAUUAUUAUAAUAAAAAUUUUUAUUAAUAAAAAUUUUUGUUGGGGAAACAUAAAUUUUGCAAAUAAUUUACCUUUUUUCAUGUUAAAAUAAUUUAAGAUCUUUUAGAUAAAAAUGACUAGUAUAAGUUACUCUAGGGAUAACAGCGUAAUAAUUUUUGGAUAGGCCAUAUAUAUAAAAUUGAUUGCGACCUCGAUGUUGAAUUAAAAUAUCUCUAUAAAGUAGAAGUUAUAAGAGAGGGUUUGUUCAACCUUUAUAAUUUUACAUGAUUUGAGUUCAAACCGGUUUAAGCCAGGUUGGUUUCUAUCUUUUAAAAUUUAUGAAUUUUUUUAGUACGAAAGGACCGAAUAAUUUUAAUAUUU
RNAcentral lists this ribosomal RNA (1065 nucleotides) under Metacrangonyx goulmimensis. Its description in RNAcentral is "16S ribosomal RNA". The stretch from base 842 to 1001 matches the Rfam family "Archaeal large subunit ribosomal RNA", at positions 2542 to 2701 of the family's 2987-position model. The record is from RNAcentral. Lineage: Eukaryota; Metazoa; Arthropoda; Malacostraca; Amphipoda; Metacrangonyctidae.